GAUGAACGCUGGCGGCGUGCCUAAUACAUGCAAGUCGAGCGAACAGACGAGGAGCUUGCUCCUCUGACGUUAGCGGCGGACGGGUGAGUAACACGUGGAUAACCUACCUAUAAGACUGGGAUAACUUCGGGAAACCGGAGCUAAUACCGGAUAAUAUAUUGAACCGCAUGGUUCAAUAGUGAAAGACGGUUUUGCUGUCACUUAUAAAUGGAUCCGCGCCGCAUUAGCUAGUUGGUAAGGUAACGGCUUACCAAGGCAACGAUGCGUAGCCGACCUGAGAGGGUGAUCGGCCACACUGGAACUGAGACACGGUCCAGACUCCUACGGGAGGCAGCAGUAGGGAAUCUUCCGCAAUGGGCGAAAGCCUGACGGAGCAACGCCGCGUGAGUGAUGAAGGUCUUCGGAUCGUAAAACUCUGUUAUUAGGGAAGAACAAAUGUGUAAGUAACUAUGCACGUCUUGACGGUACCUAAUCAGAAAGCCACGGCUAACUACGUG
This 497-nucleotide ribosomal RNA is filed under the name uncultured bacterium. RNAcentral's name for it is "partial 16S ribosomal RNA". It matches the Rfam family "Bacterial small subunit ribosomal RNA", at positions 28 to 507 of the family's 1533-position model. The record is from RNAcentral.